Molecule: long non-coding RNA, 1093 nt
Filed under: Lonchura striata (white-rumped munia)
Lineage: Eukaryota; Metazoa; Chordata; Aves; Passeriformes; Estrildidae
Description: domestica (Bengalese finch) lncRNA (ENSLSDG00000007264.1)
Source: RNAcentral
CUCCCUCCCCGGAGCCAGCGGCAGCGCGGCACCUCCGCACGGUGGGUCCCCGUCCUUCCCUGGGGAGAAGAGGGGCUGGGGCUGGGGAGCUGCUUUCUGGGCGGCACGGUGCAGGAUUGGGCCCCGAGGUUCUGGUGGUCCCAGUGCCAGGGGGCACAGGACUGGGGAAGGCUGUGGGUGUGCUUUGGGGUCUGCAUGUUGCCUUGUGCAGUCUCUGUGUGCCAGGGGGGAGCAGGGUGGCCUGGUCUGGGCGCCGCGCAUGUGGCAGCGAUCCUGAGUAUGUUCCAGGAGAGAGGGCAGCCAAGCCCUGGCAUGAGCUAGGAGAGAGGGCAGCUGUGCCCUGGCAUGAGUGGGAAUGAGAGGCUGCUUGUGCCACAGCCCCACAAUGAUGGAGGUGGGAGCAGGGCUGGACAUGUGGCAGGGCACUCAUGCAAAGGCUCCUGCCCUGCAGGGCAGAGGGGCAGCAGUGCCAGCAGUGGCUGCAGCCCGAGCCAGAGCCAUUGGAGGUGGCCAGAGAGCAGAAAUAUGCUGGAUUUAUGGCCCGUCUCAUGAUGUGUUUAUGAUUGGGAUGAGGCAGCUGCAGAUGCUGCCCAGCCCUGCCCUGCGCGGCACGGCAGGUCCCUGCUCUGCAUCCCGGUGCCGACAGGGUGGAGGUUCACAGGCGGACUUUGCUCUUCGAGGUGGAGCUCCCCAGGGCUCUCCCUGGCACCGCUGCCGUGUCUGCCCACUGCCGGGCAACUCGACAGCUCCUCCCUGUUCGCUCCACAGGCAGCGACCCAGCAGGGACCCUGUGGGGGCAGGGUCCUGUCCUGUCUGCCCGGUCCUGUCCGGCCCUGGCGCUGCUUUGGUGCUGAGCCCCCCGCGUCACGUAGCAGCCACCGCAGAGCAGGCAGGGGCCGGAGAAGGGACUCUGCUGCCCGCAGCGCCGCUCCAGGGAGCCAGGGUGGACCCUCCUCAUGGCAGCCAGGCCCCCGCAUAACACCAGCCAAACUGGACACCCCGGUCCCACGAGAGACCCUCCCCAGCCAGAACCAACCCUUCUGCCACCUGCAGCCCAGCCCGGACUCUCCUGUCCCUGCCUGUCCCCACACCA